This 481-nucleotide ribosomal RNA is filed under the name uncultured bacterium. RNAcentral describes it as "partial 16S ribosomal RNA". It matches the Rfam family "Bacterial small subunit ribosomal RNA", at positions 46 to 523 of the family's 1533-position model. The record is from RNAcentral.
GCUUAACACAUGCAAGUCGAGCGAGAAUCGUUUAUUGAAGGCUUCGGCUGGAAAUAGAUGAGGAAAGCGGCGAACGGGUGAGUAACGCGUGGGCAACCUGGCCUUAAGAAAAGGGUAGCCCCCGGAAACGGGGAGUAAUACUUUAUGAGAAUGAGAGAGGGCAUCCUACUUUCAUUCAAAGCGCAAGCGCUUAAGGAUGGGCCCGCGUAUCAUUAGCUAGUUGGUGAGAUAACAGCCCACCAAGGCAACGAUGAUUGGCCGGUCUGAGAGGGCGAACGGCCACAUUGGAACUGAGAGACGGUCCAAACUCCUACGGGAGGCAGCAGUGGGGAAUAUUGCGCAAUGGAGAAGAACUCUGACGCAGCAAUACCGCGUGAGCGAAGAAGGUCUUCGGAUCGUAAAGCUCUGUUAUCAGGGAAGAAGAAAAUGACGGUACCUGGUGAGCAAGUCCCGGCUAACUACGUGCCAGCAGCCGCUGUAA